GCCUUCGUGUUGUAACGGUAGCACACUCGGCGCGUAUUCGAGAGAUCCAGGUUCGAAUCCUGGCGAGUACU
Molecule: transfer RNA, 71 nt
Filed under: Stegodyphus mimosarum
Lineage: Eukaryota; Metazoa; Arthropoda; Arachnida; Araneae; Eresidae
Rfam family: tRNA
About the family: Transfer RNA (tRNA) molecules are approximately 80 nucleotides in length.
Source: Rfam by way of RNAcentral